GGAGAAACACCAGGAAGUUGAAUAAAUCUCAUAGGAGUUGGGAUGAAGAAGUUAUCCCACUUUCUAAUCAGGUGAUUCCAGUUUCCCAGUUUGGGAAUAGGACAGCUUCUCCGUCGUUCCAAUCAAACCAGGAUGAAUCACUUUGUAAGAAGCUUGAUUUGGAUAUAUAAAGUGUUGGAGAAUCACCAGGAAGUUGAAUAAAUCUCAUAGGAGUUGGGAUGAAGAAGUUAUCCCACUUUCAAAUCAGGUNNNNNNNNNNNNNNNNNNNNNNNNNNNCCCAGGUGAUUCCAGUUUCCCAGUUUUAUCCCACUUUCAAAUCAGGUGAUUCCAGUUUCCCAGUUUUGGAAUAGGACAGCUUCUUCGUCAAUCCAAUCAAACCAGGAUGAAUCACUUUGUAAGAAGCUGUAUUUGGAUACAUAAAAUGGUGGGGAAACACCAGGAAGUUGAAUAAAUCUCAUAGGAGUUGGGAUUAAGAAGUUAUCCCACUUUAAAAUCAGGUGAUUCCAGUUUCCCAGUUUGGGAAUAGGACAGCUUCUUCGUCGUUCCAAUCAAACCAGGAUGAAUCACUUUGUAAGAAGCUUGAUUUGGAUACAUAAAGUGUUGGAGAAUCACCAGGAAGUUGAAUAAAUCUCAUAGGAGUUGGGAUGAAGAAGUUAUUCCACUUUCAAAUUAGGUGAUUCCAGUUUCCCAGUUUGGGAAUAGGACAGCUUCUUCGUCGUUCCAAUCAAACCAUGAUGAAUCACUUUGUAAGAAGCUUGAUUUUGAUACAUAAAAUGGUGGAGAAACACCAGGAAGUUGAAUAAAUCUCAUAGGAGUUGGGAUGAAGAAGUUAUCCCACUUUCUAAUCAGGUGAUUCCAGUUUUCCAGUUUGGGAAUAGGACAG
RNAcentral lists this long non-coding RNA (883 nucleotides) under Brassica napus (rape). Its description in RNAcentral is "long non-coding RNA (BNAP_LNC018439)". Lineage: Eukaryota; Viridiplantae; Streptophyta; Magnoliopsida; Brassicales; Brassicaceae. The record is from RNAcentral.